UAGUCCACGCCGUAAACGAUGUCAACUAGCCGUCGGGCUCAUUUAAGGGUUUGGUGGCGCAGCUAACGCGCUAAGUUGACCGCCUGGGGAGUACGCCGGCAACGGUAAAACUCAAAGGAAUUGACGGGGACCCGCACAAGCGGUGGAGCAUGUGGUUUAAUUCGAGGCAACGCGAAGAACCUUACCAGUCCUUGACAUCCCGAUCGCGAUUAAUGGAGACAUUUUUCUUCAGUUCGGCUGGAUCGGUGACAGGUGCUGCAUGGUUGUCGUCAGCUCGUGUCGUGAGAUGUUGGGUUAAGUCCCGCAACGAGCGCAACCCUCAUCCUAUUUUGCCAGCACGUUAUGGUGGGAACUAUUAGGAAACUGCCCGUGACAAGCGGGAGGAAGGCGGGGAUGACGUCAAAUCAGCACGGCCCUUACGGACUGGGCUACACACGUGCUACAAUGGUGACUACAACGAGUCGCAAACCUGCGAAGGUGAGCUAAUCUUUAAAAGUCAUCUCAGUUCGGAUUGGAGU
RNAcentral lists this ribosomal RNA (518 nucleotides) under uncultured bacterium. Its description in RNAcentral is "bacterial SSU rRNA". It matches the Rfam family "Bacterial small subunit ribosomal RNA", at positions 791 to 1304 of the family's 1533-position model. The record is from RNAcentral.